Molecule: ribosomal RNA, 627 nt
Filed under: Triticum aestivum (bread wheat)
Lineage: Eukaryota; Viridiplantae; Streptophyta; Magnoliopsida; Poales; Poaceae
Description: partial small subunit ribosomal RNA
Rfam family: Small nucleolar RNA Z247 (bases 481-619)
Source: RNAcentral
AUGUCUUCCUCCUCCGCCACCUUCCACUCAAGCCUAAACGGCCAGGUCACGGAGAAGCUCUCCCGCACAAAUUAUGUGCUAUGGCGGACACAGAUCACGCCCCAGCUGAGAGGGGCCGGUCUCUUUGGCUAUGCGGACGGCACCAUGCCGGAACCAGCUAGCCUUCUCGUCACCAAGGACAAGGACGGGAAGGAGACUUCUGAGCCCAACCCUCUCCACCCCAUCUGGGUCAAGGAGGACCAGCAGGUGCUCGGCUUCCUGCUAAGCAACCUCUCAAAAGAGGUGCUCGUCACGGUGACCGCGAUCACCACCGCGCACGCGCUCUGGACGGCGCUGGCGGGCAUGUUUUCGUCACAGUCCUUGAGCCGCGUCAACAACAUCCGCACCGCCCUCAUCAAUGCCCAGAAAGGUAAUCAAUCAGUCGCCGCCUACUUCGCCUCUAUGCGUGGCCUCGCUGAUGAGCUCGCCUCGGCCGGCAAAGCCAUCCAGGAUGACGAGCUGAUCUCCUACAUCAUCCAUGGGCUGGACAUGGACUACCAGCCUCUUGUCUCGGCCCUCGACGCCCGCGUCACGCCCGUCUCCCUCGACGAACUCUUUGCCAUGCUCAGCAACUUCGAUCAGCGCGUG